AACAUUCAUUGCUGUCGGUGGGUUUUAGUUUGAAUCAACUCACUGAUCAAUGAAUGCAAA
Molecule: microRNA precursor, 60 nt
Filed under: Sphenodon punctatus (tuatara)
Lineage: Eukaryota; Metazoa; Chordata; Lepidosauria; Sphenodontia; Sphenodontidae
Description: Spt-Mir-181-P2b_pre stem-loop
Rfam family: mir-181 microRNA precursor family
About the family: In this case the mature sequence comes from the 5' arm of the precursor. The extents of the hairpin precursors are not generally known and are estimated based on hairpin prediction.
Source: RNAcentral